RNAcentral lists this ribosomal RNA (433 nucleotides) under uncultured bacterium. RNAcentral's name for it is "partial 16S ribosomal RNA". It matches the Rfam family "Bacterial small subunit ribosomal RNA", at positions 29 to 507 of the family's 1533-position model. The record is from RNAcentral.
AACGAACGCUGGCGGCAGGCCUAACACAUGCAAGUCGAGCGAGGACUUCGGUUCUAGCGGCGGACGGGUGAGUAACGCGUGGGAAUGUGCCCUUCUCUACGGAAUAGCCCUGGGAAACUGGGAGUAAUACCGUAUACGCCCUUUUGGGGAAAGAUUUAUCGGAGAAGGAUCAGCCCGCGUUGGAUUAGGUAGUUGGUGGGGUAAUGGCCUACCAAGCCGACGAUCCAUAGCUGGUUUGAGAGGAUGAUCAGCCACACUGGGACUGAGACACGGCCCAGACUCCUACGGGAGGCAGCAGUGGGGAAUCUUAGACAAUGGGGGCAACCCUGAUCUAGCCAUGCCGCGUGAGUGAUGAAGGCCUUAGGGUUGUAAAGCUCUUUCAGAUGGGAAGAUAAUGACGGUACCAGCAGAAGAAGCCCCGGCUAACUCCGUG